This 507-nucleotide ribosomal RNA is filed under the name uncultured bacterium. Its description in RNAcentral is "bacterial SSU rRNA". It matches the Rfam family "Bacterial small subunit ribosomal RNA", at positions 28 to 527 of the family's 1533-position model. The record is from RNAcentral.
GACGAACGCUGGCGGCGUGGAUUAGGCAUGCAAGUCGAACGGUAUCAUCCUUUCGGGGGUGAGAGAGUGGCGAACUGGUGAGUAACACGUAGGUUAUCUACCCUCAAGACGGGGACAACCCAGGGAAACUUGGGCUAAUACCGGAUGUGAGCAACUUUUAGUUGUUUGAAAGGUGGCGUAAGCUGUCGCUUGGGGAUGAGCCUGCGUCCUAUUAGUUAGUUGGUGAGGUAACGGCUCACCUAGGCAAUGAUAGGUAGGCGGCCUUAACGGGUGGUCGCCCACACUGGGAUUGAGAUACGGCCCAGACUCCUACGGGAGGCAGCAGUCGAGAAUAGUCUACAAUGGUCGGAAGACUGAUAGUGCGACGCCGCGUGAACGAUGAAUCCCUUCGGGGUGUAAAGUUCUUUUAUAUGUGAGCAGUGCUUCUUAUAUUAACAGUAUGGGGAGAGAGAUAUUAGCAUAUGAAUAAGCAACGGCUAACUCCGUGCCAGCAGCCGCGGUAAUACG